AGCAGCCCGUGUAAUCCUCUUGUGCUGAAGGCAGAUGCCUUAUUUGUUUGGCUGGAGCGAGCCAUUAAUCCCUAAUUCUGGAUCAGCAAGCGAGGGGGAAAGAGCGGACCGCUCCGACCCACGCCCUCCCCACCCCACCUCCCAGCCUAAAGCACCUUAUACCACCGGGGCCUCUCAGUCUCCUCUUUCCUCCGCGAACGCGCUGAGCAGCGACUGAAAACGCUUUGGUCCUCUGCAGGGGCGCCUUCUGGGGUCUCCGCGCAGCACUGGCUCUGGGCGCUCUCUCCGUUCCUCGGACGCAGCCCGAGCGGGCCGCUCCUUCCGGCCCACCGCGCCGUGGGGACGCCGCGAACAGAGCUGCCGCCCCGGCCGCCUCCGCCCGCCGCCCGCCGCCUCCGCCCGCCGCCCCCGGGGCUCCGCCCGCUGAGGUCCACUCCCCUCACCCUCCUUUCUCCUGCCUGCCCUCCCUCGGCGGGCCGAGCACUUUCAGCCUCAGACCUCAAGCCGAAGUCCGAGGAGUGCGUGUCUGCUGCGCUGCUUCCAGCCGAAAUCCCCCGGUCCGGCCCAGACCCAGGGUCCGCACUCGGGGCGGUGGGGAAGCCUUAAGAGCAGGCUUUUCUCUAUGCAGCAAAAUCGUCCCCAGACCAGAUGGGCGGCCCAGCUCUCCCGGGACCAGGCAGGUGCGGUUGAGUUAAUUUUUCCGCAUUACAAAGAAAGAUGACCCGAGCGCCCUUGGAUUCUCAUCUUUUCCCAAAAUUUCCCUAGCCAAACUGCGGUAACAUUAUCGGAAGACCCCAGGACGAGGCGAAUCCGUGUGUUUCUCUUACAUACACACACGCAUGUUAAUUUUUUCCCUUUUACAUGCUAGAUUUCUUCCUCAGAAGCAGAAAUGAUUGACGAAGGGUUCCACAACAGAUCAUGGGACGGCGGGGUCCUUAAACCCUGACAUUCUCUACCAGUGCCUUAGGAAGGAGUCAAGUCCUCAACUGCGGAUCUUAGUGCUGAUGUAGUUAUCAGAGAGACUCUGAACAGACUCCAGUGUGGACUUCAAGAUUUGCCAGGAAGGAACAGGAUUGGGAGUGACUAAGUGAGACCUGGCAGUAGCCAAUGCAGCCUGGAAACGAGGAACAGGCUAGUAGCAGGACAGCCUUCUUAUGUCGGCCCAGGAGGCCAAGCUCCCGGACAUCUCCCGGCCACCGGUGCACCGGACUCUGCUCAGCGCAUCCCCGCCAGCGGGAGGCACUGCAGCAUCUGAAGGCCUGAAACCCGCACUGCGGAAAAAUCAGCCACAGCAGCAUCCUUCUGUUAGUCUCUGCCUGCCUACCGGAAAUAGGCAGAAUGGCUUAGUAAAUCCCAUGCAAUGAAGAUUUACUUUAGUACUGUAGUAGUGGAGGGUUGGAUGUGUGGGUAUUGAUAUUUUCAACAAAUUUUAAAAUUCUCAGCAUAUUUCAUUAUCCCAACUUAGCUAUUGAGAGUAUUAAAUAUAAACAAUAACAUUUAAAUGCCCUAAUUAAUGAAUUAAAAGGGAAAGAAA
This 1534-nucleotide long non-coding RNA is filed under the name Heterocephalus glaber (naked mole-rat). RNAcentral's name for it is "lncRNA (ENSHGLG00000033417.1)". Lineage: Eukaryota; Metazoa; Chordata; Mammalia; Rodentia; Bathyergidae. The record is from RNAcentral.